AUCCAGCUGACGAGUUCCAAAUAGGACGAAACAAAUGUCCUGGAU
Molecule: non-coding RNA, 45 nt
Filed under: Schistosoma margrebowiei
Lineage: Eukaryota; Metazoa; Platyhelminthes; Trematoda; Strigeidida; Schistosomatidae
Source: RNAcentral